This 587-nucleotide long non-coding RNA is filed under the name Canis lupus familiaris (dog). Its description in RNAcentral is "lncRNA (ENSCAFG00000050913.1)". The record is from RNAcentral. Lineage: Eukaryota; Metazoa; Chordata; Mammalia; Carnivora; Canidae.
CUACUUUUCAAUCUCUCUGGGGAUUAAAAUAGGUCACUCUGCCUAAAGAGAGUCUUGUUUUAUGUCAUUUCCUGAACAGGCCAUAUGUACUCAUCAGCUAGCAGUAAGGCCCCCACCCACAUCUGCUCUAUCUCCCGGAGCUGGUUGUUAACAUCCACCCUUCUUCUGAAGCCCAGGGUACAGUAGGGCUACAGAGAAUGUUGGCAUCUUACCAGUCUGCAGUGUGAUUUAGGCCAGGCAAUGCAGAUUUAGUACGGCUUCUUUUAUUCAUAAGCAAGGAGAGCCUGAGGAUGCUGAGCCUCACCUCUGUGUUGGAGGUGCAAAUGCUCAAACUUUGCUUCUGGCCAGGUGGGCAGGAGAUACAUAAGGAAAAUGGACACAGAUCCUUCUGGAUGGGGAAUUCUGACCUUUUGAUGUCUGAGUCCCUUACUGUCCAGUCAAAGGUUUGAAAAGUGUUUUAUUUUUCAUUGCUAGGUAUUCGUUAAAUAGUUACUGAUGCCAUAACAAUUUUAUGUGACAUAACUGUAUAUCUGCCAAGGUAUAGAGAAAAGAGAAUGGGGUAAAUGUCUUUUUGUUUCUGUUUCAUG